This is a non-coding RNA of Cordylochernes scorpioides, 75 nucleotides long. The record is from the annotation of a GenBank genome assembly. Lineage: Eukaryota; Metazoa; Arthropoda; Arachnida; Pseudoscorpiones; Chernetidae.
AGACCCAUGGGAGAAUUGAACCCACAACCUUCACUUUAUUAGCAAGAUGCUCUAACCAACUAAGCUAAUGGAAUU